Molecule: ribosomal RNA, 490 nt
Filed under: uncultured bacterium
Lineage: Bacteria
Description: partial 16S ribosomal RNA
Rfam family: Bacterial small subunit ribosomal RNA
Source: RNAcentral
GAUGAACGCUAGCUACAGGCUUAACACAUGCAAGUCGCGGGGCAGCAGGGGGGUGGCUUGCACUUUCCGAAGGCGACCGGCGCACGGGUGAGUAACGCGUAUCCAACCUGCACUUCACCACGGGAUAACCCGGCGAAAUUCGGACUAAUACCGAACGUUGUCCAUUGACGGCAUCCGAUUUGGACGAAAGGUUUGGCGGUGAAGGCUCGGGAUGCGUUCGAUUAGCUGGACGGCGGGGUGCCGGCCCACCGUGGCGACGAUCGGUAGGCGUUCGGAGAGAAAGGCCACCCACGAAGGAACUGAGGCACCAGCCAGACACCUACGGGAGGAAGGAGUGAGGAAUAUCGGUCGAUGGGCGUAAGCCUGAACCAGGCAAGUAGCGUGCAGGAUGACGCCCCUAUGGGUUGUAAACUGCUUUUAUGCGGGGAUAAAGUGGCCCACGUGUGGGUUUUUGCAGGUACCGCAUAAAUAAGGACCGGCUAAUUCCGUG